UGGAAUUGCAGAGUGUUGAUGAAAAUGAAUGUAAAAAAAAGCGCACUUCCUCAAUGGAAAUCAGUUAAGUGCGCCCAACAAGAGGGUGGGGUCGAGUGUGGCUAUUACGUGAUGAAAUUCAUGCAUGACAUAUUCAAAAGUUGCAAGGAAGUUCAAGAUCUGGAAAAGGUUUUCAAAACUCCAAGGGAGGAGCCCUUUACCAAAAAGGAGUUGGAUGAGGUUCGAGACAAGUGGGCUAUGUACUUCAACGAUUGUGAACUACCCUCAGUGUAAUAA
Molecule: long non-coding RNA, 276 nt
Organism: Spinacia oleracea (spinach)
Lineage: Eukaryota; Viridiplantae; Streptophyta; Magnoliopsida; Caryophyllales; Amaranthaceae
Exons: 3
Source: RefSeq, a predicted model, not a curated record